RNAcentral lists this ribosomal RNA (465 nucleotides) under uncultured Klebsiella sp. Its description in RNAcentral is "bacterial SSU rRNA". It matches the Rfam family "Bacterial small subunit ribosomal RNA", at positions 338 to 795 of the family's 1533-position model. Lineage: Bacteria; Pseudomonadati; Pseudomonadota; Gammaproteobacteria; Enterobacterales; Enterobacteriaceae. The record is from RNAcentral.
CCUACGGGAGGCUGCAGUGGGGAAUAUUGCACAAUGGGCGCAAGCCUGAUGCAGCCAUGCCGCGUGUGUGAAGAAGGCCUUCGGGUUGUAAAGCACUUUCAGCGGGGAGGAAGGCGUUAAGGUUAAUAACCUUGUCGAUUGACGCUACCCGCAGAAGAAGCACCGGCUAACUCCGUGCCAGCAGCCGCGGUAAUACGGAGGGUGCAAGCGUUAAUCGGAAUUACUGGGCGUAAAGCGCACGCAGGCGGUCUGUCAAGUCGGAUGUGAAAUCCCCGGGCUCAACCUGGGAACUGCAUUCGAAACUGGCAGGCUAGAGUCUUGUAGAGGGGGGUAGAAUUCCAGGUGUAGCGGUGAAAUGCGUAGAGAUCUGGAGGAAUACCGGUGGCGAAGGCGGCCCCCUGGACAAAGACUGACGCUCAGGUGCGAAAGCGUGGGGAGCAAACAGGAUUAGAUACCAGGGUAGUC